Molecule: ribosomal RNA, 243 nt
Filed under: uncultured Rasamsonia
Lineage: Eukaryota; Fungi; Ascomycota; Eurotiomycetes; Eurotiales; Trichocomaceae
Description: partial 26S ribosomal RNA
Rfam family: Eukaryotic large subunit ribosomal RNA
Source: RNAcentral
UGCAUAUCAAUAAGCGCGGAGGAAAAGAAACCAACAGGGAUUGCCUUAGUAACGGCGAGUGAAGCGGCAAAAGCUCAAAUUUGAAAUCUGGCCCCUCCGGGGUCCGAGUUGUAAUUUGGAGAGGAUGCUUCGGGUACGGCCCCCGUCUAAGUGCCCUGGAACGGGCCGUCAUAGAGGGUGAGAAUCCCGUCUGGGACGGGGUGCCUGGGUCCAUGUGAAGCUCCUUCGACGAGUCGAGUUGUU